Molecule: signal recognition particle RNA, 92 nt
Filed under: human gut metagenome
Description: Bacterial small signal recognition particle RNA
Rfam family: Bacterial small signal recognition particle RNA
About the family: The signal recognition particle (SRP) is a universally conserved ribonucleoprotein involved in the co-translational targeting of proteins to membranes. Archaeal SRP consists of a 7S RNA and homologues of the eukaryotic SRP19 and SRP54 proteins.
Source: RNAcentral
CGGGUCUCCUCGCAUUGUGAGAUGGUCAACCGGGUCAGGGUCGGAAGGCAGCAGCCCCAGCCGUUGCAGCAAGUGCCGAGGUCAAGGCUCGC